GCUUUGGUUGUGGCGCGAGGGCUCGGCUCAGGACAGCUGGUAGCGCCGCCCUCUUCACGUGACCCCGCCGAUCCCGAGCCGCGCUCCUUGGUCCCCGCCGCCUCGGUCCCCGCUGCAACUACUUCGGCGCUGGCGAGCCAAGGUGUGACAACAUGGCGGCUCUGCUCGUGAAGACCCUACUGGCGGCUGCCGCCACCCCGCUGUGUUACCUGCGGCACGGCGCGCCCCCGCGCCUGCCCUUUUCUUCCCUGGGCUUCGGACACUUCCUAGCGGCCGCGCCAGCGUUGGUCGCCAAGAAGCGCAGCCUGGCAGGUCAGCCACUGCUUGCAAGCAGCCAGCUUCCAGUCGUACAGACGGUUAUGGGGAUGAAAACAAAAGGUGUAAUCAAAAGGCGUUGUAAGGACUGUUUUAUUGUUCGCAGACGUGGACGACUGUUUGUGUACUGUAAAACUCAUCCCAGACACAAGCAACGACAGGCAUAAUUUCAGUUUUUUAAUGCAAGCAAAACACCUGUUCUUUGAAAAUGUCCCUCAAAAGACUAGUAAGCUUCCGGAGGAAAAUACUAAACUAAUUCUGCAUAUGAAAUGGUGAUCACUGUAAAGAUUGCAUAUAGUACCAGGAUACACGUGAAUGGCUACUGAGCUGUGGAUUUCUCACUAGCUGGUAGAUUGAUCUGUUUCUAUAAUAGCUAUGGCCCCUAAUCAGAAAAAGUGGUGUAAAUGACUGUCAUUAUAGUAACUAGACUCUCAAAAUAAUAUCUGUGUUUAGAACUUAAAUUUAUUUUGAGUUCCAUGUAUUUUUAAUUCUUAUUUUUGGUAUGAUGAUGUUUCAAACUAACAUUUCAUAUAAGAUGCUCAAUAAUAAAAUAGAAAAACAAAUCCUCCAAUGAUGAUGUUUUCUUACUUUCUCUAGUAAGCGUGGAGGUAAUCAUUAAAAUGUUUGUAAAUGAAUAUAAUUUUUCCACCACUUAAGGGAAUAAGCAAUAGUGGAGCUACGUUUUCAUUGUCUGUAAAGUUGUAAGGUAUUUAAUGCUAGUUACAGUUCAGAAUCAAGAUAAAAUAAUUAUAGUAAUUUGAAGUGGAACAGCCUGUAGUAAGUAGUGCAAUAACAAUGAUAAUUGUGCUACAACUACUUGUUGUUAGAUCAUAAAUGCUAUCAAUCAAAAGCCUAAUUAAAAAAAUUAAACAGGUAUAAACAUA
Long non-coding RNA from Chelonia mydas (Green sea turtle), 1199 nucleotides. RefSeq lists it as uncharacterized. NCBI's taxonomy places the organism in Eukaryota, Metazoa, Chordata, Testudines, Cheloniidae. The record is from RefSeq and is a predicted model, not a curated record. The transcript is spliced from 2 exons.